GUAUAAUGGGUCAGCGACUUAUAUUCUGUAGCAAGGUUAACCGAAUAGGGGAGCCGGAGGGAAACCGAGUCUUAACCGGGCGUUAAGUUGCAGGGUAUAGACCCGAAACCCGGUGAUCUAGCCAUGGGCAGGUUGAAGGUUGGGUAACACUAACUGGAGGACCGAACCGACUAAUGUUGAAAAAUUAGCGGAUGACCUGUGGCUGGGGGUGAAAGGCCAAUCAAACCGGGAGAUAGCUGGUUCUCCCCGAAAGCUAUUUAGGUAGCGCCUCGUGAAUUCAUCUCCGGGGGUAGAGCACUGUUUCGGCUAGGGGGCCAUCCCGGCUUACCAACCCGAUGCAAACUGCGAAUACCGGAGAAUGUUAUCACGGGAGACACACGGCGGGUGCUAACGUCCGUCGUGAAGAGGGAAACAACCCAGACCGCCAGCUAAGGUCCCAAAGUCAUGGUUAAGUGGGAAACGAUGUGGGAAGGCCCAGACAGCCAGGAUGUUGGCUUAGAAGCAGCCAUCAUUUAAAGAAAGCGUAAUAGCUCACUGGUCGAGUCGGCCUGCGCGGAAGAUGUAACGGGGCUAAACCAUGCACCGAAGCUGCGGCAGCGACGCUGAUGCGUUGUUGGGUAGGGGAGCGUUCUGUAAGCCUGCGAAGGUGUGUCGUGAGGCAUGCUGGAGGUAUCAGAAGUGCGAAUGCUGACAUAAGUAACGAUAAAGCGGGUGAAAAGCCCGCUCGCCGGAAGACCAAGGGUUCCUGUCCAACGUUAAUCGGGGCAGGGUGAGUCGACCCCUAAGGCGAGGCCGAAAGGCGUAGUCGAUGGGAAACGGGUUAAUAUUCCCGUACUUGGUGUUACUGCGAAGGGGGGACGGAGAAGGCUAUGUUGGCCGGGCGACGGUUGUCCCGGUUUAAGCGUGUAGGUGUGUGUUCCAGGUAAAUCCGG
This 932-nucleotide ribosomal RNA is filed under the name Salmonella enterica subsp. enterica serovar Johannesburg. Its description in RNAcentral is "partial 23S ribosomal RNA". It matches the Rfam family "Bacterial large subunit ribosomal RNA", at positions 610 to 1545 of the family's 2925-position model. The record is from RNAcentral. Lineage: Bacteria; Pseudomonadati; Pseudomonadota; Gammaproteobacteria; Enterobacterales; Enterobacteriaceae.